Molecule: transfer RNA, 85 nt
Filed under: Candidatus Yonathbacteria bacterium
Lineage: Bacteria; Candidatus Yonathiibacteriota
Description: tRNA-Ser
Rfam family: tRNA
About the family: Transfer RNA (tRNA) molecules are approximately 80 nucleotides in length.
Source: RNAcentral
GGAGAGGUGGCAGAGUGGUCUAAUGCGCAUCGUUGGAAACGAUGUGUACCGCAAGGUACCGCAGGUUCGAAUCCUGUCCUCACCG